This 1259-nucleotide long non-coding RNA is filed under the name Malus domestica (apple). RNAcentral's name for it is "long non-coding RNA (MDOM_LNC001405)". The record is from RNAcentral. Lineage: Eukaryota; Viridiplantae; Streptophyta; Magnoliopsida; Rosales; Rosaceae.
UCAUUUCAUGCAUGGCAAUUCGAUUCACAUUUCUAUCUACUUUUCAUAUACUUUCAUGCAUGGCAUUUCAACUAAUAUAUCUCAUAUACUUUUAUACAUUUUCAUUAAAAGCAUAAUUUCAUGCAUUUUCAAUUUCUGGGAAAACGGCAAGUAUAUAUGUAUACGGAAAACCAAACUGCCCACUCACCUGGAGUUCGCCCUACAACUCCCUAGCACAAUACGCCAAGGCGUCAUGACGAUCGCCGCCUAGAACAGUAAUCAAAUCCAACCUCAGAAUUCAUAUCGAUAGAAUGUAUAACUUAUAUAAAAUACGUCACUACGUUGAUCGAUCCGGAAGAUCUGCCACUCAGAUUUUAAAUCCAUAACUGCCAGAGGUCCACAAUAUAUCUCUAGCAUAACAUCCUAAAAUUUCAUUACCAUCCAACAGUCGGAUCUCCGUCAAUUUCCAAAACUAAGUGACGGUUAACAUUUUAUUUUAUGAACUUACAAUUCCAAUUCCGGAAGAUCCGUAACUCGGAUUCCCAAUCCGUAAGUUCCAAUAAUCCUCAAAUAUUACGUAUUACAACGUAUCAAAGUUUGGUAACGAUCCAACGGUCGGAUCGUCAAUUCAUAUUUUCACCUAAAUGCAAAAACUAUAAAACGUUAUUUGAACACCUAACCAACAAUCCUUAAUAACUUUCUCAUACGGUGCUCAAUUUGGGUAUAUGAAUAUACCACAGUGAUCUACUCGACGUCACGGACGUUGACAUAUUUUUAAAAUAAUUUUUUUACUGUAGCACGCGCCCCCACGCGCCAAGGAAGGCACGGACCUACGCGCACCUUCUUCUUCCUUGGGUCGCCGGACUGGUUUUUCCGGCGGCCGUUUUUCAAAUUGCUAUAACUUUGUCAUUUCUCAACGAAAUCAAGUGAUUCAAAAACGAAAGUUGUAGCCCUUGAAGAGACAAAGAGAAUGGUACCUUGCACAACACCUAGUUCGCCGUAUUUUGGCCGGAAACUGCCUCGAAAGCCUCGGAGGUCGCCGGAAACUGGGUAUUUUUCAAAUGAGUAUAACUUCUUCAAUACUCAACGCAAUUGAGUGAAACAAAAAGGAAAGUUGUAGUAAUUGACGAGACGAAGAGAUUGAUACCUACCUCGACUCCUAAAUCGUCGGGGAUUCGCCGGAAAACGCCUCGAAAGCUCCGGCCAAACUUUGAACUUGUCGAUCUCCGUGUUCUUACGUCCAAAAACUUCCAACGAAGCACUCCGAGCUUCCUUGGGAC